AAGAACUGAUUUUGUAUACUAUAUACAAAAUCGGUUCUGAAAUCUUUUAGAACCGAUUUUGUAUAUAGUAUACAAAAUCGGUUCUU
This 86-nucleotide microRNA precursor is filed under the name Cajanus cajan (pigeon pea). Its description in RNAcentral is "miRNA gene-KK1_044138". The record is from RNAcentral. Lineage: Eukaryota; Viridiplantae; Streptophyta; Magnoliopsida; Fabales; Fabaceae.